ACGAACUCUGGCGGCUUGCUUCACACAUGCAAGUCGAACGGAAAGGCCCUGCUUUUGUGGGGUGCUCGAGUGGCGAACGGGUGAGUAACACGUGAGUAACCUGCCCUUGACUUUGGGAUAACUUCAGGAAACUGGGGCUAAUACCGGAUAGGAGCUCCUGCUGCAUGGUGGGGGUUGGAAAGUUUCGGCGGUUGGGGAUGGACUCGCGGCUUAUCAGCUUGUUGGUGGGGUAGUGGCUUACCAAGGCUUUGACGGGUAGCCGGCCUGAGAGGGUGACCGGCCACAUUGGGACUGAGAUACGGCCCAGACUCCUACGGGAGGCAGCAGUGGGGAAUAUUGCACAAUGGGCGGAAGCCUGAUGCAGCAACGCCGCGUGCGGGAUGACGGCCUUCGGGUUGUAAACCGCUUUCGCCUGUGACGAAGCGUGAGUGACGGUAAUGGGUAAAGAAGCACCGGCUAACUACGUG
RNAcentral lists this ribosomal RNA (467 nucleotides) under uncultured bacterium. RNAcentral's name for it is "partial 16S ribosomal RNA". It matches the Rfam family "Bacterial small subunit ribosomal RNA", at positions 29 to 507 of the family's 1533-position model. The record is from RNAcentral.